AACGCACAUUGCGCCCGCUGGUAUUCCGGCGGGCAUGCCUGUUCGAGCGUCAUUUCAACCCUCAAACCCCCGGGUUUGGUGUUGGGGAUCGGAUUCUCUCUGAGGAUCCGCCCCCUAAAUCUAUUGGCGGUCUCGCUGCAGCCUCCAUUGCGUAGUAGCUAACACCUCGCAACUGGAACGCGGCGCGGCCAUGCCGUAAAACCCCAACUUCUGAAUGUUGACCUCGGAUCAGGUAGGAAUACCCGCUGAACUUAA
This 255-nucleotide unclassified non-coding RNA is filed under the name uncultured fungus. RNAcentral's name for it is "partial contains 5.8S ribosomal RNA, internal transcribed spacer 2, and large subunit ribosomal RNA". The stretch from base 1 to 52 matches the Rfam family "5.8S ribosomal RNA", at positions 103 to 154 of the family's 154-position model. The record is from RNAcentral. Lineage: Eukaryota; Fungi.